This 468-nucleotide ribosomal RNA is filed under the name uncultured bacterium. Its description in RNAcentral is "partial 16S ribosomal RNA". It matches the Rfam family "Bacterial small subunit ribosomal RNA", at positions 28 to 507 of the family's 1533-position model. The record is from RNAcentral.
GACGAACGCUGGCGGCGUGCUUAACACAUGCAAGUCGAACGGAAAGGCCCUGCUUUUGUGGGGUGCUCGAGUGGCGAACGGGUGAGUAAAACGUGAGUAACAUGCCCUUGACUUUGGGAUAACUUCAGGAAAAUGGGGAUAAUACCGGAUAGGAGAUCCUGCUGCAUGGUGGGGGUUGGAAAGUUUCGGCGGUUGGGGAUGGACUCGCGGCUUAUCAGCUUGUUGGUGGGGUAGUGGCUUACCCAGGCUUUGACGGGUAGCCGGCCUGAGAGGGUGACCGGCCACAUUGGGACUGAGAGACGGCCCAGACUCCUACGGGAGGCAGCAGUGGGGAAUAUUGCACAAUGGGCGGAAGCCUGAUGCAGCAACGCCGCGUGCGGGAUGACGGCCUUCGGGGUGUAAACCGCUUUCGCCUGUGACGAAGCGUGAGUGACGGUAAUGGGUAAAGAAGCACCGGCUAACUACGUG